AGAAUCAACGCUGGCGGCGUGCCUAAUACAUGCAAGUCGAACGCGAAAGUGGAGCAAUCCAUGAGUAGAGUGGCAAACGGGUGAGUAACACGUGGGUGACCUGCCUUCGAGUGGGGGAUAACGUCUCGAAAGGGACGCUAAUACCGCAUGACAUCCUGCCUUUUAACAGGUGGAGAUCAAAGCCGGGGAUCGCAAGACCUGGCGCUUGGAGAGGGGCCCGCGUCCGAUUAGCUAGUUGGUGGGGUAAUGGCUCACCAAGGCAACGAUCGGUA
This 272-nucleotide ribosomal RNA is filed under the name uncultured bacterium. RNAcentral's name for it is "partial small subunit ribosomal RNA". It matches the Rfam family "Bacterial small subunit ribosomal RNA", at positions 26 to 285 of the family's 1533-position model. The record is from RNAcentral.